RNAcentral lists this transfer RNA (66 nucleotides) under Sinanodonta tumens. Its description in RNAcentral is "tRNA-Glu". The record is from RNAcentral. Lineage: Eukaryota; Metazoa; Mollusca; Bivalvia; Unionida; Unionidae.
AGCUAACUAAGUGUCUUAUGCACAUUGAUUUUUCACGUCAAAAGAGCACAUGGUGCAUUUAGCUAC